RNAcentral lists this ribosomal RNA (253 nucleotides) under uncultured bacterium. Its description in RNAcentral is "partial 16S ribosomal RNA". It matches the Rfam family "Bacterial small subunit ribosomal RNA", at positions 524 to 776 of the family's 1533-position model. The record is from RNAcentral.
UACGUAGGGGGCAAGCGUUGUCCGGAUUUAUUGGGCGUAAAGAGCUCGUAGGCGGCUUGUUGCGUCGGAUGUGAAAGCCCGGGGCUUAACUCCGGGUCUGCAUUCGAUACGGGCAGGCUAGAGUUCGGUAGGGGAGAUCGGAAUUCCUGGUGUAGCGGUGAAAUGCGCAGAUAUCAGGAGGAACACCGGUGGCGAAGGCGGAUCUCUGGGCCGAUACUGACGCUGAGGAGCGAAAGCGUGGGGAGCAAACAGG